Molecule: ribosomal RNA, 253 nt
Filed under: uncultured bacterium
Lineage: Bacteria
Description: partial 16S ribosomal RNA
Rfam family: Bacterial small subunit ribosomal RNA
Source: RNAcentral
UACGUAGGGGGCUAGCGUUGUCCGGAAUCAUUGGGCGUAAAGCGCGUGUAGGCGGUCCGGUAAGUCCGCUGUGAAAGUCGGGGGCUCAACCCUCGAAUGCCGGUGGAUACUGUCGGACUAGAGUCCGGAAGAGGUGAGUGGAAUUCCCGGUGUAGCGGUGAAAUGCGCAGAUAUCGGGAGGAACACCAAUGGCGAAGGCAGCUCACUGGGACGGCACUGACGCUGAGACGCGACAGCGUGGGGAGCAAACAGG